Molecule: ribosomal RNA, 822 nt
Filed under: uncultured bacterium
Lineage: Bacteria
Description: bacterial SSU rRNA
Rfam family: Bacterial small subunit ribosomal RNA
Source: RNAcentral
GANACCUGCGGCNGCCUACACAUGCAAGUCGAGGGGUAGAAGAAGCUUGCUUUUUUGAGACCGGCGCACGGGUGAGUAACGCGUAUGCAACCCACCUUAUACAGGGGAAUAGCCCGAAGAAAUUCGGAUUAAUGCUCCAUGGUUUAUCGAUAUGGCAUCGUAUUGAUAAUAAAGAUUUAUCGGUAUAAGAUGGGCAUGCGUAUCAUUAGCUAGUUGGUGUGGUAACGGCAUACCAAGGCAACGAUGAUUAGGGGUCCUGAGAGGGAGAUCCCCCACACUGGUACUGAGACACGGACCAGACUCCUACGGGAGGCAGCAGUGAGGAAUAUUGGUCAAUGGAGGCAACUCUGAACCAGCCAUGCCGCGUGCAGGAUGACGGUCCUAUGGAUUGUAAACUGCUUUUGUACAGGAAGAAACCUCCCUACGAGUAGGGACUUGACGGUACUGUAAGAAUAAGGAUCGGCUAACUCCGUGCCAGCAGCCGCGGUAAUACGGAGGAUCCGAGCGUUAUCCGGAAUUAUUGGGUUUAAAGGGUUCGUAGGCGGCUUUGUAAGUCAGUGGUGAAAUUUCCUAGCUUAACUAGGACACUGCCAUUGAUACUGCAGAGCUUGAAUAAUAUGGAAGUAACUAGAAUAUGUAGUGUAGCGGUGAAAUGCUUAGAUAUUACAUGGGAAUACCAAUUGCGAAGGCAGGUUACUACGUAUUUAUUGACGCUGAUGAACGAAAGCGUGGGGAGCGAACAGGAUUAGAUACCCUGGUAGUCCACGCCGUAAACGAUGGAUACUAGCUGUUCGGUUUUCGGACUGAGUGGCUNAGCGAAAG